Castor canadensis (American beaver) is the source of this 1956-nucleotide long non-coding RNA. NCBI's taxonomy places the organism in Eukaryota, Metazoa, Chordata, Mammalia, Rodentia, Castoridae. The record is from Ensembl.
AUGUUUGGCCAGGUAGCAGCCAGCACUGCGCCAAGCCUGUUUGGGCAGCAGACAGGCAGCAUAGCCAGCACAGCUGCCACCACACCACAGGCCAACAGCUCAGGGUUUGGCAGUCCCUCUUUUGGUACCUCAGCCCAGGGGUCUUCGGACAGGCAACUUUUGGGCAGGCCCCAGCCUUUGGGCAGGCAACCAGCAGCCCUGCAAGCAGCUUCUCCUUCAGUCAGCCUGGGUUCAGUUCCGGGCCUGCUUUUGGCCAGUCCGUCUCCUCCACCCCAACAUCCACCAGUGGGAAUGUCUUUGGUGCCUCCUCAACUACCAGUAGCUCCGGUUCCUUCUCAUUUGGACAGUCUUCUGCCAACACAGGAGGGGGGCUGUUUGGCCAAAGCAACCCUCCUGCUUUUGGUCAGAGCCCUGGCUUUGGGCAGGGAGGCUCUGUGUUUGGUGGCCCCUCAGCCACCACCUCCACAGCAGCACCUUCGGGGUUUAGCUUUUGUCAAGCUUCAGGUUUUGGGUCUAGUAAUACUGGUUCUGUAUUUGGUCAAGCAGCCAGUACUGGUGGAGCAGUCUUUGGCCAGGUAAAUGUGUGUCAUCUCUAUUCAUGUGACAUCUGUCCAUUUUCCCCGGGAUAACAUAAUCAGCUUGUGCUGUGUAUCCAUAUCCAGCAAGAGACUGUAUAAUGCUCAAGCUCCAGUUUCCUGCCUUGAGGAUGCAGAGGUCUCCACCUUAGAUUAGAGAGUCACAGGAUUUUGGCCCUUCUUUGGCAGUCCUCUGGGAAAGGACUUGUGCCUGGCUUUGUCAAUGUCCUGUUGGUUCUGUUAGGCCAAAGGUUGACAAGCCGCAACCUGUAGGCCUUGUUUUAUUUAAAGUUCUUGAGCUAAGAAUGUUCUUACAUUUUUAAAUGGUUGUUUGGGGAUGGAUGGAAGAAUGUACAGCAGAGACCACAUGUGGCCCUUGAGCUGAGCUGUCUACAGUCUCAGGCCUCCUUCUGGUAACCUGAACUUUUGUACUUUUAUAUGUAACAGCAGCAUCUUUGCCCAGGCAGAGUUUUAAGUUCCUCAUUCAGAUAACUCUUAUAAUCAUCUCAGCUUCUCUGCAUGUAGGUGCUGUUAUUAUUACCCCCAUUCAAAAAAUGAAAACAGUGGGGAUUCAGAGAUUGUUUUACUCCAGCUGUACAGUGGCCACAUAAGGACCCUAUUUUUUCCUUUUUCCUUUGAAGAAGUGUCUGCCCUAGUCAGUGAUCUUUCUUAGAGGGAAAUGAAACUUUUGAUUUUCAGUUUCUGGUAAUGGAACCCUAAGUCAUUCAAACUAAGUUCCCCACCAAAACCAACAAAAAAUACAGAUAAAACCUAGAAAACAAUUUAUUUAUUUAUUAUUGGCGCUGGGUUUGAACUCAGGGCCUUGCAUUGCUAGGCAAGAUACUGCACCACUUGAGCCAUGCCUCCAACCCCUUCUCCUUCCUCCCACCCCAUUUUUUUUGUUUUUGUUUUUUCUUUUAGUUACCCUUCAGAUAGGGUCUUGCAUUUUUGCCUGGGGCUGGCUUAGAACAACCAUGAUCUGCCUACCUAUAGCCUCCCAGGUAACUGAGAUUAUAAGCAUGUACCACCAGGCCUGACUAACUUUUUGCUCAAGCUGGCCUCAAGCCAACAUCCUUCGGCCUCCUGAGUAGCUGGAAUUUCAGACAUGAGCUCAGUGCCUGGCCUGGAAACCAUAUUUUUUUAAAGCAUUGCUAAGCUAACAAAGUGUUCACCAAGCCAAAUUUAAAAGAAAAUGAGAACCUAAAGAAAGAAAGUGGAACACAGAAGCCUUUUCUGUCCCAAGGGCAUUCACUGACCUGAGAAAAUAUGAAUUUUUGUGUUUAAGAACCCCACAGGCAAAGGGACAGAAAUUAAUAAGAUGUGUACAAGUUGAGGAUUCCAAAAGAACCCGUACCCAUAAUAAACUGGAACUUCAGAUUCA